This is a non-coding RNA of Camellia sinensis, 96 nucleotides long. Lineage: Eukaryota; Viridiplantae; Streptophyta; Magnoliopsida; Ericales; Theaceae. The record is from RefSeq and is a predicted model, not a curated record.
UGGUCAAGAUGAUGAAAUGAGAAAAUCUUAGGACACCUUCUGACACAGUCCGACAAUGGCUGUGUAUGAGAAAAGAUUUUCAUUUCUGAUGUUUCA